CCUACGGGCGGCAGCAGUGGGGAAUAUUGGACAAUGGGGGCAACCCUGAUCCAGCCAUGCCGCGUGUGUGAAGAAGGCCCUCGGGUUGUAAAGCACUUUCAGUGAGGAAGAACGCCUGGUGGUUAAUACCCAUCAGGAAAGACAUCACUCACAGAAGAAGCACCGGCUAACUCCGUGCCAGCAGCCGCGGUAAUACGGAGGGUGCGAGCGUUAAUCGGAAUUACUGGGCGUAAAGCGCGCGUAGGUGGCUUGAUAAGCCGGUUGUGAAAGCCCCGGGCUCAACCUGGGAACGGCAUCCGGAACUGUCAAGCUAGAGUGCAGGAGAGGAAGGUAGAAUUCCCGGUGUAGCGGUGAAAUGCGUAGAGAUCGGGAGGAACACCAGUGGCGAAGGCGGCCUUCUGGACUGACACUGACACUGAGGUGCGAAAGCGUGGGUAGCAAACAGGAUUAGAUACCCCUGUAGUC
RNAcentral lists this ribosomal RNA (465 nucleotides) under Vreelandella stevensii. RNAcentral describes it as "partial 16S ribosomal RNA". It matches the Rfam family "Bacterial small subunit ribosomal RNA", at positions 338 to 795 of the family's 1533-position model. Lineage: Bacteria; Pseudomonadati; Pseudomonadota; Gammaproteobacteria; Oceanospirillales; Halomonadaceae. The record is from RNAcentral.